RNAcentral lists this ribosomal RNA (482 nucleotides) under uncultured bacterium. RNAcentral describes it as "partial 16S ribosomal RNA". It matches the Rfam family "Bacterial small subunit ribosomal RNA", at positions 30 to 507 of the family's 1533-position model. The record is from RNAcentral.
AUUGAACGCUGGCGGCAUGCCUUACACAUGCAAGUCGAGCGGUAACAGGUCUUCGGAUGCUGACGAGUGGCGCACGGGUGAGUAAUACAUCGGAACGUGCCCAGACGUGGGGGAUAACGAGGCGAAAGCUUUGCUAAUACCGCAUACGAUCUAAGGAUGAAAGCAGGGGACCGCAAGGCCUUGUGCGUUUGGAGCGGCCGAUGGCAGAUUAGGUAGUUGGUGGGAUAAAAGCUUACCAAGCCGACGAUCUGUAGCUGGUCUGAGAGGACGACCAGCCACACUGGGACUGAGACACGGCCCAGACUCCUACGGGAGGCAGCAGUGGGGAAUUUUGGACAAUGGGCGAAAGCCUGAUCCAGCAAUGCCGCGUGCAGGAUGAAGGCCUUCGGGUUGUAAACUGCUUUUGUACGGAACGAAAAGGCUCUGGCUAAUACCUGGGGCACAUGACGGUACCGUAAGAAUAAGCACCGGCUAACUACGUG